UGCCAGCAGCCGCGGUAAUACGAAGGGUGCUAGCGUUGUUCGGAAUUACUGGGCGUAAAGAGCAUGUAGGCGGAUGAAUUAGUCAGAGGUGAAAGCCCCGAGCUCAACUUGGGAACUGCCUUUGAUACUGUUUAUCUAGAGUCCGAGAGAGGUUAGUGGAAUUCCCAGUGUAGAGGUGAAAUUCGUAGAUAUUGGGAAGAACACCAGUGGCGAAUGCGGCUCACUGGCGCGGUACUGACGCUGAGGUGCGACAGCCUGGUGAGCAAACGGGAGUAGAA
This 278-nucleotide ribosomal RNA is filed under the name uncultured bacterium. RNAcentral's name for it is "partial 16S ribosomal RNA". It matches the Rfam family "Bacterial small subunit ribosomal RNA", at positions 506 to 783 of the family's 1533-position model. The record is from RNAcentral.